GUUGUGACAAUUUUACGUAGCUAUCCAUCUUAUUGCGUCGUGCUUACAUUAUUAAUAUUUAAUGAUUAGUGGCUUGUUAAGUGUGACAUUUAUAAUAUGAAAUUUGCAUUAUGUAAUGAAAUAAUGAUAUGUACUGUACAAUCACUGAUAUGUGCAAGUAAGAGUCCUGAACCUAUUUUUCAAAUAUAAUCUACUUUAUCUAUCUGAAGCUUCAAAAGCUCUCACUUAGUGGAAGUGUACAGUAUUGAACUGGCUUUGUUAUACGUUUUUUCCUAAUAGAUGCUGUAUGUAAUUUUUUAAUAGUUCAUGUUGUAGCAGCUUCAGUUAAAUGGUUUUUAGCAUUCUAAGAUUUUUUUUUAUAUCUACUCUCUAAUAAAAAUUCAUAUUGUAUAUAGUGGAUUAAAGUCAAUUGUCAGUAAAGUUUAGUAUUUCACAUGUAUUAUUUUGGUUUAAAGAGACUUUGUGUUAAUAUCUGUUUUACCAAGUUAUCUAUGUUGUUUACUAUGAUAGCAGUUGAGUUUAGAAUGGAAAACUUUGAUAACUGCUUGUCCAUAAUUAACUCUAUGUAUGUUAAUCAGCUACUGUCUAAAGUGGUUAUUAUUGUCAUGGUAAUAGCAAAUAAAAUAGUUACUUAAAGUUGA
Molecule: long non-coding RNA, 641 nt
Organism: Limulus polyphemus (Atlantic horseshoe crab)
Lineage: Eukaryota; Metazoa; Arthropoda; Merostomata; Xiphosura; Limulidae
Exons: 2
Source: RefSeq, a predicted model, not a curated record